RNAcentral lists this ribosomal RNA (397 nucleotides) under uncultured rumen bacterium. Its description in RNAcentral is "partial 16S ribosomal RNA". The record is from RNAcentral.
UAUUCCCCACUGCUGCCUCCCGUAGGAGUCUGGGCCGUAUCUCAGUCCCAAUGUGGCCGUUGAACCUCUCAGUCCGGCUACUGAUCGUUGACUUGGUAGGCCGUUACCCCACCAACUAUCUAAUCAGACGCGAGCCCAUCUAUCAGCGGAUUACUCCUUUUCCUAUUGCACCAUGUGGUACUUAGGCAUAUGCGGUAUUAGCAGUCAUUUCUAACUGUUGUUCCCCUCUGAUAGGCAGGUUGCUCACGCGUUACUCACCAGUCCGCCACUAAAGCCAUUGUUAUAAAUCUUCAUCAAGUCCCUUUGAACAAGUUCUCCGUUCAUAUCAAAAUCAGUAUAACGACUUCCGUUCGACUUGCAUGUCUUAUGUGCGCCGCCAGCGUUCAUCCUGAGCCAA